GCCUUCGUGGUGUAGUGGUCAGCACGCUCGAUGCGUAACCGAGAGGUCCGUGGUUCGAUUCCGGGCGAAGGAG
RNAcentral lists this transfer RNA (73 nucleotides) under Stegodyphus mimosarum. It matches the Rfam family "tRNA". Rfam says of the family: Transfer RNA (tRNA) molecules are approximately 80 nucleotides in length. Their secondary structure includes four short double-helical elements and three loops (D, anti-codon, and T loops). The record is from Rfam by way of RNAcentral. Lineage: Eukaryota; Metazoa; Arthropoda; Arachnida; Araneae; Eresidae.